Molecule: ribosomal RNA, 450 nt
Filed under: Escherichia coli
Lineage: Bacteria; Pseudomonadati; Pseudomonadota; Gammaproteobacteria; Enterobacterales; Enterobacteriaceae
Description: partial 23S ribosomal RNA
Rfam family: Bacterial large subunit ribosomal RNA
Source: RNAcentral
ACAGUGUCUGGUGGGUAGUUUGACUGGGGCGGUCUCCUCCUAAAGAGUAACGGAGGAGCACGAAGGUUGGCUAAUCCUGGUCGGACAUCAGGAGGUUAGUGCAAUGGCAUAAGCCAGCUUGACUGCGAGCGUGACGGCGCGAGCAGGUGCGAAAGCAGGUCAUAGUGAUCCGGUGGUUCUGAAUGGAAGGGCCAUCGCUCAACGGAUAAAAGGUACUCCGGGGAUAACAGGCUGAUACCGCCCAAGAGUUCAUAUCGACGGCGGUGUUUGGCACCUCGAUGUCGGCUCAUCACAUCCUGGGGCUGAAGUAGGUCCCAAGGGUAUGGCUGUUCGCCAUUUAAAGUGGUACGCGAGCUGGGUUUAGAACGUCGUGAGACAGUUCGGUCCCUAUCUGCCGUGGGCGCUGGAGAACUGAGGGGGGCUGCUCCUAGUACGAGAGGACCGGAGUGG